UGGCUCAGGAUGAACGCUAGCGACAGGCCUAACACAUGCAAGUCGAGGGGCAGCACAAGGAGCAAUCUGAGGUGGCGACCGGCGCACGGGUGAGUAACACGUAUGCAACCUGCCUGUAAGCGGGGAAUAACCCGUUGAAAGACGGACUAAUACCGCAUAAUACUAAAUUACUGCAUGGUAAUUUAUUUAAACAUUUAUGGCUUACAGAUGGGCAUGCGCAUGAUUAGCUAGUUGGAGAGGUAACGGCUCCCCAAGGCAACGAUCAUUAGGGGUUCUGAGAGGAAGGUCCCCCACACUGGUACUGAGACACGGACCAGACUCCUACGGGAGGCAGCAGUGAGGAAUAUUGGUCAAUGGACGAGAGUCUGAACCAGCCAAGUCGCGUGCAGGAAGAAUGUCCUAUGGAUUGUAAACUGCUUUUGCAGGGGAAUAAGGUGCAUCACGUGUGAUGUUUUGUAUGUACUCUGCGAAUAAGGAUCGGCUAACUCCGUGCCAGCCGCCGC
This 503-nucleotide ribosomal RNA is filed under the name uncultured bacterium. RNAcentral describes it as "bacterial SSU rRNA". It matches the Rfam family "Bacterial small subunit ribosomal RNA", at positions 20 to 518 of the family's 1533-position model. The record is from RNAcentral.